GCGGCCAUGGCGGAAUUGGUAGACGCGCUAGAUUCAGGUUCUAGUUGGGCAACUCGGUGGAUGUUCGAGUCAUCUUGGCCGCA
RNAcentral lists this transfer RNA (83 nucleotides) under Beta vulgaris subsp. vulgaris (sugar beet). It matches the Rfam family "tRNA". Rfam says of the family: Transfer RNA (tRNA) molecules are approximately 80 nucleotides in length. Their secondary structure includes four short double-helical elements and three loops (D, anti-codon, and T loops). The record is from Rfam by way of RNAcentral. Lineage: Eukaryota; Viridiplantae; Streptophyta; Magnoliopsida; Caryophyllales; Amaranthaceae.